UUUCUAGUAUAAGUAUGUCCCAUGUGAUAUUUGGGAUAUACUUACACUAAAA
Ailuropoda melanoleuca (giant panda) is the source of this 52-nucleotide non-coding RNA. NCBI's taxonomy places the organism in Eukaryota, Metazoa, Chordata, Mammalia, Carnivora, Ursidae. The record is from Rfam.